This 4842-nucleotide long non-coding RNA is filed under the name Homo sapiens (human). Its description in RNAcentral is "NR2F1 regulatory antisense RNA 1, transcript variant 31 (NR2F1-AS1)". The record is from RNAcentral. Lineage: Eukaryota; Metazoa; Chordata; Mammalia; Primates; Hominidae.
AGACAACCUGCGGCGGCGGCGAGAGAGCACCGGGAUUCGCAGCCUAGCAGCCGAGCCAGACUCCCUGCGCCGCUGCCAGCCGGCUGGGGGCGGGGAGGGGGUCGCCUCCCAGGGGUGGGGACAGAGGGGGUGUGUUGAAAGGAAGAGGCUCAAUUAAAACCAACAAGAGCGCUUUCCUCCGUGCGGGGCAGGGGCGUGCGUUUGCGUCAGAGGGCGCGCGGGGGGCGGGGGCAGCCGAUGCUGGGGACUGCACCCGGGGGCUGGGGGGUCUCGGAAGCGAGGAGGCCUUGCCUAGCUGGGCUGGCCCGGGGUCAGGCCCUGUAGGUGAGGGCCAAGGCGAGACGGGAUGACAGCUGAGCCUGCCCGGGAGCAGAGGCGCCCACCCAUCCUUACUGUGGGCUCUCCGUGCCCCCACAGAGCUUUCAAACUUGAAAGAGGCCCCUGGGACCCGGCGUGACCCUAGCGGUGGGGAGAAGUUGGGCCCGCGAGGCCUCAGGCGAAGCCGCGGGCUCCUCCGGAAGGAAGGAGGAGGGUGAAGUCCCCUGUCCUAGUCCCAGGGGUGGGAGUGGGAAGCUGUUGGUGGUGAUGCCCGGAGCAGCGGAAGCCCGCGGCUUUUCGGAGGAGGGGAGCGGCUCGCACUCCUACGGGGCAUCCUUGCCAACUUUCUGUCACAAGAGGGGGCGGGGAGAAACCAAGGCUUUUCGAGGAGGGCGCUGUCCCCCUCUGGAACUCGUCCGGCCUGAGUGGCACUUAGAGCUCAGUUUCUCUUCGGAAGCCUGUGCUCCCCGACCGCGGUUGCACACCCACAGGGCGCCCCACUUGUGCUCAUAGCCCUGCCUCCAGCAAAAAUGUCUUCCCUAGAGGCACUGAGAGGUCAGCUUAGUUCCUGGGAAGCCCUUUCUUUCUUUCUUCAAGGCUCUCUUUUGAUACUGGUCCCAAUUGGCACACUUGUCCUGGGCCUAAUGCGACCCACACUCAACCAGGAAAUAAUGAUAUCUGUUGUUGUGGGGUAGGGUACCUAAUAGAAAACUGAUCAUAGUUUUCGAGAGUACUUAGAUCCCCCAAUUGGGAAAUCCUACAUACUUGUCCAGGCACGCUCAGCUGCAGGAGCAGAAAACGCAGUUGUAGUGUCCACGUUUCUUUCACCCACCCCCUCUUCUUCAGAUCUCUCUCCCUCCCUUCUAGGCCAGGCCUUUCACCUCGGAACCUUAAGCUGAGUCUGGACGUGGUUCUUGGACUCGGACCGCUGUGGCUCUUGCCUCAGCAUCCUACCCGAGGCCUCCAGCCAGGCCCACAGGGGCUCAGCCCUCUCCAGGGUCUCUCUUUCGGUUUGGCGGGUCUGGGAACUGUAAGGGCCUUGCCGGGGCCUGGGCUCCCGGGAGCCUCCCUUCCUUCCUCUGCCUUCCUGGUUCCCACAGACCUGUUCAGUGCACACUAGAUCUUUAGUGUAGUUCCCCAAAAAGGCGAUGAGAAGGUACCGCUCCGCUUGGGGAAAGGAAUUAGGCUGUAAGCCUAUAGUACCCCUUGCGGGCUGCUAGCAUCAAGCUCAGCGUUAAUCACGUUUUAAAAGACAUACCAGACAAAGCUUGAUCUCUCCCAGCUUGCCACCCAGUAAAUUGUGAUCUGGUGAGAGAGGAAGAGAAGCACAGAUCGGUUUGGCUGCACAUUCAGGGUUGACUUGCGUUCCAGGCCCCAGAAUCCGGAUCUAAGCGGACUGUCUGUCUGUUAACAUAUCCUCUCCCUCCAUAUCUUUCUUACCACGAGGCUGAACCAUUUUUCACUAAUUCUAUGGGCUUUUUUUGAUAUUGAUAUCUUGGUCUCCCGAAAGUCAUUCAUUUUAGCUUUUUGGUAAGUCACACUGAACAAAAGUGGCCUUGUAAAAACAUUUUCUAAAUCUAGUUCAAGAGCCAUGGGACCCUACAAAUGAUCAGAUAUGUGUAGGAAAUUCUCUUUUAUACCUCUUCCCUACCUCAAAAUCGUUAAAAAUGGUAUUAUUCUGUUUAGCAAGACCACAGAACAGAACUAACCCCGUUUUAUCGAGCCCAUCUGGAGAGAUGAACAUGCCUGCAAUCAUUGAGAAAAAGGGAUGAUGUGGUGGCCCAGGGUCAUGACUGGAUGUGUGAACAAGGGACAGGGACUGAGAAACGGAAAUACUACCAUCCUCCAGCCAAUCUGUUGGGAGGACUGCUUGCAGAGGACUCGUGCUCCAGAUGUUGCACUAGAGGCGCUGCAAGUGUGAGCAGCAGGUAGAUGAAACUCAAGAGAAAAGGUGUGGAUAAAUGAAACUAGCCCAUGAUGAACCUGUUUUCUCCGUGACCACAAUAUUAACCAGGAUGAAUGGCGGUGGCAGUGGGCCUGCAUCACAGGUUGCAGCAGAUGUUCUCAAUAUUUCUAUUAAAAUUUCCUUAUUUCCAUAUGCAAGAGGAGCCCCAGAGCUGCAUCCUUAUGGUAGCUACCAUGCCGUGAUGUAAGCUGCCAUUCACUGGGGAGCUUUGGCAAUAGAAUUGGCUAGAUCAGGAAGCCUAUGUCAACUAUGGAACAACAACUUGCAGCUCAUCUCUAUUGAUGAUGGAAUCUCGCUAUGUCACCAGGCUGGAGUGCAGUGGCGCAACCUCGGCUCAGCGCAACAUCCGCCUCCCGGGUUCAAGUGAUUCUCCUACCUCAGCCUCCUGAGUAGCUGGGAUUACAGGAAUCUAAUGACCAUUGAACUGUGGCCAUGACUUCAAUUACAAGUAUUUUCUUCACUAAUGUCAGACUGUGGGCCUUUGUAUAUACACUUUUAACAAACUUUUUGGAAGUGCAAUACAUAUCGCAACAACUUCUCAAUGCUGAAUCAUAGUAUUGGAAGACAUUUUAAGCAACAAUUAAACUCAACUUAUUUACUACCAAUAAUGUACAUAAGUCAGCUGAAGUGAGGAUAACAUGAAUAGCACAAAUACAUUAUGAUUGCUGCCUGGCCAACAGUAAUUAUAAGAAACUGUCAGUUUUGAGAUGUGUCUUGAUUUCAGAGAUGUUAAAAAAGUUUGUAAGUUACCAUUGAUAAAAUAUGAGUUUGCUUCCACAAAUAUUCUUUCUUCUGUCCUUCUGGAACUCAAGAGUAAACAUAUAUUAGAUUUUCUCACCAUUUCAUGCAUGCUGGUUCCUAGGCUACUCUCUGAGUCAUUUUUUUUUUCUUAUCUGCCCUCCAGUUCACUAGUUCUGUCAUUUUCUGGGUCUGAUCUGCUGCAAAUGCAAUACAUUGAGUUUUAAAUUUCAGUCAUUGUGUUUUCAUUUCUAGAAAUUUCAUUUGACUCUUUCUCAAAUUACUUUUCCAUUUUUUUUGUAGUUUCCUAUCCCUGGAGAUAUUUUCAAUCAUGCCAUUUAAUUUUUUAAAUACGCAAGUGUAGUUUUAUAAUUUGUGUCUGAUAAUUCUAAUAUCUGAAGUCUUAGUAGGUCUGUUUCAGUUGUCCUGUAAUUAUGCAUGUUUUUGCCCAUGUUGCUUUGUUUCCUUGUAUGCUUGGUUAUCUUUCUUACUGCCCUUGCAAAAUUAUUUGGAGAGUCCUGGAGGCUUAAAUGAAGAUAACUUUUAGGAAUAAUUUGCAUUUGCUUUUGCCGAGGAUCUUGGGAUCAUUUCAACCAAAAUCUUAGCUUGAAAUUCCGCAAUCAAUCAAGGUGAUGAGAACCUGGUCAGUAAAUCCUAAUGAGGGCCAGGCUGUGGCCAAAGAUUUUUAGACAGAUGUUUCCCUCCUUUGCCAUUUCUCUUUUCUUUCCUCCUCUGCUCCUCUUAGUGUCCAGACAACCUUCAUGGAAGUCCUUGGGGUGGGUGGGAAAUGAGGACGGCAGGUUUCAUUCUAGGUAUAGCCCUUUGAGGUCUAACUUAAUGCAGAGAGAGUUUUCUGGUCUAUGUGCCACCUUACAUGGGAUCUUGAGCCUUGAUUUCUAAACCCCUUGCCUUUGAUGUUUCAGAAUUGAAGCUUAAAUUUGCCAACAGGCAAAUGUCCUCAAGGCAAAUUGGCUUAGGUGUUCGAUAUUCUUCUUACCAGAAAGGUAAACUUGGGUUUUUUACUUCACCCAGGAUUUGGCAUGACAGUUCCCCAUUAUCUUGUCAGCUUAGUGCUUUAAGUGAUUGCAUUUAAAAAAAUUCUGCAUUUUCAGUUUUUAGCAGGAGGAAUGGCCUCAACUAGUGGUUUUCAACUGGGGAUGAUUUUUUUCCCCUAGGGGACAUUUGAUAAUGUUUGGAGAUGUUUUAGUUGUUAGAACUGGGGUUGGGGGAACUACUGUCAUCUGGUGGGGAGAGACCGGCAAUGCUGUUGAUCUUACUAUAAUGCACAGGCCACCCCCAACAACAAACAAAUUACAUAGCCCCAAAUAUCAAUAAUGCCAAGGUCCAAAUAACCUAACCUUCCAUUACUGAAAAUAGAAGUUCAAGAAGAUAGUUUAUAAUUUAAAAAUUUUUAGGUCUUAAUAAGUUGUCAUACUUUCACAGGUUUUAUUUCAUACUAAGUAAUUUAUUUCAAAUUUUACAUUCCAAUUACAGAAAAUUUUCUAAGCCAGUUUUUGUUCUUCAUGAGUAUUACUAUCAAGGUCACAUUUUUCAUCUAGUAUGUUUUACCCUGGUACUUGUUGGCAGGGUCAGGACUAAGGUGAGAUGCGCAAGGCAUUUGCCUCACACAAAAUGCACAAUGAAUAAAAUGUCAAAACUUUAAAUAAAGACAGAAUCACUAAAAGUACUUUGCCAUAUUGGAACCUGAGGCAAAAAGAAAAAUAAGUAAUAAUAUUUAAAAUUUUGAUCUCUUGUUCAUUGUAGAUUUUUACAUUAAUUUUGAUUGUUUAAAACAUUGCAUUAAAAUAUUAUUUAAUGUG